RNAcentral lists this ribosomal RNA (253 nucleotides) under uncultured bacterium. Its description in RNAcentral is "partial 16S ribosomal RNA". It matches the Rfam family "Bacterial small subunit ribosomal RNA", at positions 524 to 776 of the family's 1533-position model. The record is from RNAcentral.
UACGUAGGGGGCAAGCGUUGUCCGGAUUUAUUGGGCGUAAAGAGCGUGUAGGCGGCCAGACAGGUCAGCUGUGAAAACUCGAGGCUCAACCUCGAGACGUCGGUUGAAACCGUCUGGCUAGAGUCCGGAAGAGGAGAGUGGAAUUCCACGUGUAGCGGUGAAAUGCGUAGAGAUGUGGAGGAACACCAGUGGCGAAGGCGGCUUUCUGGUCUGUAACUGACGCUGAGGCGCGAAAGCGUGGGGAGCAAACAGG